This 650-nucleotide ribosomal RNA is filed under the name uncultured bacterium. Its description in RNAcentral is "bacterial SSU rRNA". It matches the Rfam family "Bacterial small subunit ribosomal RNA", at positions 202 to 840 of the family's 1533-position model. The record is from RNAcentral.
AAGAUGGCUUUGGCUAUCACUCUGGGAUGGACCUGCGGUGCAUUAGCUAGUUGGUAAGGUAACGGCUUACCAAGGCGAUGAUGCAUAGCCGAGUUGAGAGACUGAUCGGCCACAAUGGAACUGAGACACGGUCCAUACUCCUACGGGAGGCAGCAGUAGGGAAUCUUCCACAAUGGGCGCAAGCCUGAUGGAGCAACACCGCGUGAGUGAAGAAGGGUUUCGGCUCGUAAAGCUCUGUUGUUGGAGAAGAACGUGCGUGAGAGUAACUGUUCAUGCAGUGACGGUAUCCAACCAGAAAGUCACGGCUAACUACGUGCCAGCAGCCGCGGUAAUACGUAGGUGGCAAGCGUUAUCCGGAUUUAUUGGGCGUAAAGCGAGCGCAGGCGGUUGCUUAGGUCUGGUGUGAAAGCCUUCGGCUUAACCGAAGAAGUGCAUCGGAAACCGGGCGACUUGAGUGCAGAAGAGGACAGUGGAACUCCAUGUGUAGCGGUGGAAUGCGUAGAUAUAUGGAAGAACACCAGUGGCGAAGGCGGCUGUCUGGUCUGCAACUGACGCUGAGGCUCGAAAGCAUGGGUAGCGAACAGGAUUAGAUACCCUGGUAGUCCAUGCCGUAAACGAUGAGUGCUAGGUGUUGGAGGGUUUCCGCCCUU